RNAcentral lists this ribosomal RNA (253 nucleotides) under uncultured bacterium. RNAcentral's name for it is "partial 16S ribosomal RNA". It matches the Rfam family "Bacterial small subunit ribosomal RNA", at positions 524 to 776 of the family's 1533-position model. The record is from RNAcentral.
UACGUAGGUGGCAAGCGUUGUCCGGAUUUACUGGGCGUAAAGAGCGCGCAGGCGGUCGUUCAAGUCGAGUGUGAAAGCCCCCGGCUCAACUGGGGAGGGUCAUUCGAUACUGAUCGACUUGAAGGCAGGAGAGGGAAGUGGAAUUGCCGGUGUAGUGGUGAAAUGCGUAGAGAUCGGCAGGAACACCCAAGGGGAAGCCAGCUGACUGGCCCGGUACUGACACUCAGGGACGACAGCGUGGGGAGCGAACCGG